This 467-nucleotide ribosomal RNA is filed under the name uncultured bacterium. RNAcentral describes it as "partial 16S ribosomal RNA". It matches the Rfam family "Bacterial small subunit ribosomal RNA", at positions 28 to 506 of the family's 1533-position model. The record is from RNAcentral.
GACGAACGCUGGCGGCGUGCUUAACACAUGCAAGUCGAACGGAAAGGCCCUGCUUUUGUGGGGUGCUCGAGUGGCGAACGGGUGAGUAACACGUGAGUAACCUGCCCCUGACUUUGGGAUAACUUCAGGAAACUGGGGCUAAUACCGGAUAGGAGCUCCUGCUGCAUGGUGGGGGUUGGAAAGUUUCGGCGGUUGGGGAUGGACUCGCGGCUUAUCAGCUUGUUGGUGGGGUAGUGGCUUACCAAGGCUUUGACGGGUAGCCGGCCUGAGAGGGUGACCGGCCACAUUGGGACUGAGAUACGGCCCAGACUCCUACGGGAGGCAGCAGUGGGGAAUAUUGCACAAUGGGCGGAAGCCUGAUGCAGCAACGCCGCGUGCGGGAUGACGGCCUUCGGGUUGUAAACCGCUUUCGCCUGUGACGAAGCGUGAGUGACGGUAAUGGGGAAAGAAGCACCGGCUAACUACGU